RNAcentral lists this long non-coding RNA (1020 nucleotides) under Homo sapiens (human). Its description in RNAcentral is "long intergenic non-protein coding RNA 1322". Lineage: Eukaryota; Metazoa; Chordata; Mammalia; Primates; Hominidae. The record is from RNAcentral.
GAGAAUGAGCUUGGAGCCGCAGGGCUUAAUCCCGCGCGGCUCAGAGAUGGGUUUCUGGACUCGCGAAGCAGCUGCAACAAGGCAUCACUCACUGUAUAAGUAUUUCCAUUUCUGAGAGCAAAAGGAAGAACUUAAGCGGGCGGCACUUGGAGUGUAAAUUGCUUUGUAGUAUUUAAAGGCAGAAUGGAUCCUGGGCAGCCGAGCUGCAACAAACCGGCAGGACUUCCUGUGAAAUCAUGACCACCAUGUGCUCUUUCAGCCUCUAUCAGUUCCUACCUCUAAGCACCUGAGAGCCAAAGCAAACCACAGGAAACCACAGGUACUAACUCUUUUAGACCUGAUGAAGUGUCUCCCAAAUACAGUCUGGCAUGGCCUUUGGAGUCAGACUGGAACUACAGCAUUGACUCUUCCGGAACUCCAGCUUACUGACUACAGAUCUUGGAACUUUUCAGCUUCCACAACCAUGCUUUGGUAUCAGGAUGAUGCUGGCCUCAUAAAAUGAGUCAGGGAGGAUUCCCUCUUUUUCUAUUGAUUGGAAUAGUUUCAGAAGGAAUGGUACCAGCUCCUCUUUGUACCUCUGGUAGAAUUCAGCUGUGAAUCCAUCUGGUCCUGGAGUUUUUUUGGUUGCUUCUUUGGACCUUUUAAGUUGCAUUAUCCCAUAAAAUGUGGUGGAUUCAAUGUUGUAUGGCCUGUAAAACUAAGUAAUGAAGGCUGAUAUGUACCCACCUGGCUCUGUCUUGGGAUCACACAACUUGGGAGCCAAAACAGGUGAGGAUGGGGAGGUGUCAAACAAGACCUAACCUCUCAACAAUCAGCUGGACACUGUUGUGUAAGAAUGUGAAGCUUGGCACUGCUGCAGCCAUCUUGUUCCAGGAAGGGUAAAACCUGAGGUUAGAAGCCAACAUCCUAAUGAUGGCAGAGAAGACAAAGAGAACCAGAGUCUAAAUGACAUUGUUGAGUUAGAUCACUACACUACCUCUAGUCUUCUUUUUAUGUGUGAUAAUAAAUCUCACUUAUACU